RNAcentral lists this ribosomal RNA (1260 nucleotides) under uncultured fungus. RNAcentral's name for it is "eukaryotic LSU rRNA". The stretch from base 546 to 1260 matches the Rfam family "Eukaryotic large subunit ribosomal RNA", at positions 1 to 649 of the family's 3401-position model. Lineage: Eukaryota; Fungi. The record is from RNAcentral.
AAGUCGUAACAAGGUAACCGUAGGUGAACCUGCGGUUGGAUCAUUACCAAUCCCUGAUUCGCAAGAAUCAACAACACCUGUGCAAUGUUAACUGUCUCUGGGUAGCUGUAGUGAAGUGUUUAGGCACUUCAUGACCCGCUGCCCAACCUUAUAAACCCUUCUAUUUUUUGUCUUAUCUUAUAUUAAAAUAUAAUACAACUUUUGACAACGGAUCUCUUGGCUCUCGCAACGAUGAAGAACGCAGCGAAAUGCGAUACGUAGUGUGAAUUGCAGAAUUCCGUGAAUCAUCGAAUCUUUGAACGCACCUUGCACUUAGCCUCGGUUAAGUAUGCCUGUUUGAGAAUCUAUAGACUUCUUUAUCCUUCUGGGUAAGAUUUGGGCUCUUUGCGUAGCAAACUGCCUUAAAACUAUAGCCUGAUGCUCUAGCGUUAUGGAAAAGGUGCCAAAGUGUAUGAAGGGUUCGCCCACGUCCUUUGAAGCUGAUUCUUGUUAAAGUGUCAAGUCCAACGAAACCUCGGUUUCACUAAGAGGCAACUCUUGAACUUUGGUCUCAAAUCAGGUAGGAAGACCCGCUGAACUUACGCAUAUCAAUAAGCGGAGGAAAAGAAAAUAACUAUGAUUCCCCUAGUAACGGCGAGUGAAGCGGGAAGAGCUCAAAUUUGUAAUCUCAGCUGGCAACAGCUGCGAAUUGUAGUUUCGAGACGCGUUUUCGGUGGCGACUUGGGUACAAGUUCUUUGGAACGAGGCAUCAUAGAGGGUGAGAAUCCCGUCCAUGGCCCUCUGUCGCUACCAUGUGAUACGUGCUCUAAGAGUCGGUUUGUUUGGGAAUGCAGACCAAAAUGGGUGGUAAGUACCAUCUAAAGCUAAAUAUUGGCGAGAGACCGAUAGCGAACAAGUACCGUGAGGGAAAGAUGAAAAGAACUUUGAAAAGAGAGUUAAAUAGUACGUGAAAUUGUCAAAAGGGAAACGCUUGAAACCAGUAUUGCAUGCUAUAGUAGCAGUUCUUUUGAGCUGUGUUCUUAGUGUGCGAGUCAACAUCAGUUUGAUUCGAGUGAAAAUGCUUCGGGAAUGUGAGCUCUAGGGUUUUUAUAGCCGGAAGUGAUAGCUUGGGUUGGACUGAGGACUGCAGCGUCUGUUGGGGAACCUGUCGCCUUGGAAAGCGCAUUAGUCGACUGCUUGCAGAUGCCUUUUGUUGCCGAAGAGUACGGUGGGCGUACCACACUAGCGCUUAGGAUGUUGACGAAAUGGUUUUAAUCGACC